GGGGGCACAGUGGAGGCCCGAACACAACAAGAGCUUCCAGCUCCAGCAGCCUCCUGUCCUCCAGAGAGAGAGCCAGCAGACCUGCCAGCUCUGCAGCCAGCUGACUUGUCCUUCCAGUCUCAGUGCAGGGUGAAG
Maylandia zebra (zebra mbuna) is the source of this 135-nucleotide non-coding RNA. Lineage: Eukaryota; Metazoa; Chordata; Actinopteri; Cichliformes; Cichlidae. The record is from RefSeq and is a predicted model, not a curated record.